This 477-nucleotide ribosomal RNA is filed under the name uncultured bacterium. RNAcentral describes it as "bacterial SSU rRNA". It matches the Rfam family "Bacterial small subunit ribosomal RNA", at positions 355 to 846 of the family's 1533-position model. The record is from RNAcentral.
UGGGGAAUCUUGGACAAUGGGGGCAACCCUGAUCCAGCCAUGCCGCGUGAGUGAUGAAGGCCUUAGGGUCGUAAAGCUCUUUCGCCUGUGAAGAUAAUGACGGUAGCAGGUAAAGAAACCCCGGCUAACUCCGUGCCAGCAGCCGCGGUAAUACGGAGGGGGUUAGCGUUGUUCGGAAUUACUGGGCGUAAAGCGCACGUAGGCGGACCAGAAAGUUGGGGGUGAAAUCCCGGGGGCUCAACCCCGGAACUGCCUCCAAAACUAUUGGUCUAGAGUUCGAGAGAGGUGAGUGGAAAUUCCAAGUGUAGAGGUGAAAUUCGUAGAUAUUUGGAGGAACACCAGUGGCGAAGGCGGCUCACUGGCUCGAUACUGACGCUGAGGUGCGAAAAGUGUGGGGAGCAAAACAGGAUUAGAUACCCUGGUAGUCCACACGUAAAACGAUGAAUGCCAGUCGUCGGGUAGCAUGCUAUUCGGUGA